Centropristis striata (black sea bass) is the source of this 134-nucleotide small nucleolar RNA. RefSeq annotates it as small nucleolar RNA SNORA31. The record is from RefSeq and is a predicted model, not a curated record. The transcript has a single exon. NCBI's taxonomy places the organism in Eukaryota, Metazoa, Chordata, Actinopteri, Perciformes, Serranidae.
CCGCAUCUUUGACAGCCUGGGCUCUCUGCUGUGAGAUAUCCUGGGUUUUAAUAUUUCAGAUGCAACAUCAAAAUGUCCCUGCGCUUUCUGCUCGCCUCUUCAUGGCGGCUCGGAUUGAAUUGGGGAGGAUAAAU